UGGGCCAGCUCCUGGCCCUAUUGAAGUCAAUGGUAAUUUUGUUGAUGACCUCAGUGAGACCAGGAUUUGAGGAUAACCUCCCAAGCACACUGUUUUGAACACUGAUACUGGACCUCCUAAAACUGGCCAGAACUGAAACCCUGGCUCCAAACACCUCUUAGCUUUAAAGAGUCGAUCCAAGUCUGGAUCUCACCAGCUCAUCUCUCUCUCUGGGUCUGAUUCUCAUUUUACAUAAAUGAACAUAUACUUGAUGCCCCCUUUAAGGUCCCUUUACACGUUUACAGGAGUGAUGUUAGUGUAACUGAGUCUGGCCCUAUGCCACUACAACUGUGGAGAAAUUGAAAUCCAGCUCCCAACUUUGCUGCAGGAGGGCUCAUUGCAAGCACUCCAUGGUGGAUCUAGGUGAAGAGCGUGAUGCAGAUAGAAUUUGGGUGAUGACUGCCUUCCUCAGGAGACGAAGCUAGAACGUUGGUGACAGGCUAUGCUGAAAAGCUAGAUCAAGUGGGAAGGCUCUGUGCUUUUCUUUACAGAUAUUCUCCCCAAAGCCCAGUGAACAAGACAGUGCUUGAGCCAGCCUGUGUCAAAUAUUCACCCAGGGAAACUCAGACUGGAAGAGGAUUGUUCCUCCGUUGUCUGCAAAGGAGAGGAAGCACACAAGGCUCCAAUUACUACCCCUUAGGAAUAAAGUUAUGGAAGGAUUGGGCUGUAUUAAACUACAAGCAAUUAUAAGGUCCACCUAGAAAAGCCUGAGAGAAUACAGAAGGGCCUUGCAGUGGGACUUGAAGGUCCCUGAGGUGACCAGGACCUAGAGCUGGUUGAAUAAUGACAAUAUACUCAUGAAAUUCUACCAGCUCCCCAACGACCCCUACCCACUUACGACUUUACAGACUAAAGCCAACACCUCAGAAUACACCAUAUCAUGACUAGAAAGAAGAAACUGCAGCCCCAUGAAGAGCACAUGGCAAUAAUCCCAUCUCCAAGUGGCUAAAUCAUGGGUCAUUGAGGUGAGGACCCCAUGAGAAAGAAAAACUACAAUCUACUGGCUGGUACAAACGCCAUGAAGUGCUUUUGUCUUGAGCUACUAUCAGGAUGUCUAGAAGCUGCUGAAGACAGUCCAAUGGUUAGGGCAUUAGCAUGGCACUGGAGAAACCUGGAUUCAAUUUUCUGCUUUGCUACAGACAUCCUGUGUGAUCUCAGGCAAGUCACUUAAUCUCUCUGUGCCUCAGUUCUUCCCCUGUACUAUGGGGGUACUAGCACUUCCCUACAUUGCAGGGGUGUUGUGAGGAUAAAUAUAUUAAUGAGUCUGAGGCAUUCAGAUACAAAAAUGAUAGGGCCCAUAUAAGAUACUUAGAUAAAAUACAGGUUGCAAACCUGAGUGGCAAAAGGAGGGAACUAACACCAGCUCUGUCUUUUUCUGCUUGUUUUUUCUGGGCUACCAACAAAAGGUUAGAUUGGAUGAUUUUGUCUCCGCCAGCUCACCUUCAUUCAAACCCCAUUCUCAAUAAGACACUGACCAGGGAGCUCUAGUCUUUGUAGGCCACCUCCUGCCCGUAUUAAUGGUGAAAGUAGCAAUAAGCCAAAAGCAGAACAAAGUGAGCUGUAUUUGGCCCACCAGCUGCUAUGCCUUGACCACCUUGAUCUUAAGAAAAAUAUUUCUAUAUUUUUUUGCCCAGGAACUGAGCAUUGUGUGUAUUUUCCUAGCUCUGCAGGAGCAGAUGGAAGUAGGAGAACAAAAAGGGCAAUAAAAAAAAAACCCUAAAGAUAUUCUCAGAAUAGGUAAACAUAACAGAAACAUUAUCUGGGUCACAUUUGGGCAACAGAGUUUGCUCUGUUUCAAGUGCAAAUGGUUUACUGAUGAUUUAGAUGAACUUCCUGGGGAGUGUUUGAAAAUUCCUGGCACACGUUCUAUUUACCAUCUGUUAGGAGGACUUUGAUGAGCCAGCAAAGACAUGCUGGAAUGGAGUAGUUGUUAUAACUGAGUGAUCCACUAACUUCAGCAUCUUUCAAUCCUUUUGAUUAUUUACAGUGAUGUAAAUAAAUGUACUUUUGUCAGAAAGUUCUAACACUGACUAUUCCUUCAUAUCUAAUACAACUCUUCUACGUUUCUACCCUAACGUGUAAAUAACAGUCUCAACAAGCUGAAAAAUAUAGAAAUUUCCUUCCUAAAGAUCUUCUUCUGAGGUGUUAUGAACAGUCAUAAUUUAUUUGCAUUGGUAUAGUACUUCAUCUUAACAUUCCCACCAGGCCCAUGUGCCCACACCUGGAAAGCAAACUGAUGGAAUUUUUUCAUAAUUUUUGUACAAGAAAUGUUACAAUUUUUGCAAAAAUUUCCUCUGUUUUUCAACCAACUAAAUGAACUGGUCAAUAAAAUGUUUACCAGCUUUAUUUGUAAAUAUUAUAGCCUACAAGAUACCAAAUACUUUAUCCUGUUGUACCAGACAAAAAUGUUGUUAAACUGAAGUUAAAGUUGAGAAUACAUAUCCAUAACAUAAAGGUUUUUAAAAAAACACCUUUAUAAGGGCACUGUAAUUAUUAAAACCAACUAUGCUCCAAAGCUCCUGAAAAAAACAAACCAAUCAAGCCCAAACCAAGAAACUGAAAGUAAAAGUUGAACUUAAGAGACCCAAACUUUUGAAUGCGCAGGUAUAUGGCCAACUGAUCAACGCUGUGCCUUAAAAUGAGGCUACUAACACUUCCCUACUUUACCAAGAUGUUGUGAGGCUUAAUUAAUUAAUAUUUGUAAAACACUUUGACAUCCUCACAUGGAAGGCAGUAUAACACU
Caretta caretta (loggerhead turtle) is the source of this 2782-nucleotide long non-coding RNA. RefSeq lists it as uncharacterized. The record is from RefSeq and is a predicted model, not a curated record. Lineage: Eukaryota; Metazoa; Chordata; Testudines; Cheloniidae.